RNAcentral lists this ribosomal RNA (497 nucleotides) under uncultured bacterium. Its description in RNAcentral is "partial 16S ribosomal RNA". It matches the Rfam family "Bacterial small subunit ribosomal RNA", at positions 28 to 507 of the family's 1533-position model. The record is from RNAcentral.
GAUGAACGCUGGCGGCGUGCCUAAUACAUGCAAGUCGAGCGAACAGGCGAGGAGCUUGCUCCUUCGACGUUAGCGGCGGACGGGUGAGUAACACGUAGGUAACCUACCUAUAAGACUGGGAUAACCUCGGGAAACCGGAGCUAAUACCGGAUAAUAUUUCGAACCGCAUGGUUCGAUAGUGAAAGAUGGCUUUGCUAUCACUUAUAGAUGGACCUGCGCCGUAUUAGCUAGUUGGUAAGGUAACGGCUUACCAAGGCAACGAUACGUAGCCGACCUGAGAGGGUGAUCGGCCACACUGGAACUGAGACACGGUCCAGACUCCUACGGGAGGCAGCAGUAGGGAAUCUUCCGCAAUGGGCGAAAGCCUGACGGAGCAACGCCGCGUGAGUGAUGAAGGUCUUCGGAUCGUAAAACUCUGUUAUUAGGGAAGAACAAACGUGUAAGUAACUGUGCACGUCUUGACGGUACCUAAUCAGAAAGCCACGGCUAACUACGUG